CACGUAGGCACCAAGCGUUAUCCGGAUUUAUUGGGCGUAAAGAGCUCGUAGGCGGUUCGGCAAGUCGGGUGUGAAAACUCUGGGCUCAACCCAGAGAGGCCACCCGAUACUGCUGUGACUAGAGUGCGGUAGGGGAGCGGGGAAUUCCUGGUGUAGCGGUGAAAUGCGCAGAUAUCAGGAGGAACACCCGUGGCUAAGGCGGUUCUCUAGUACGGUACUGACGCUGAGACGCGAAAGCGUGGGGAGCGAACAGG
Molecule: ribosomal RNA, 254 nt
Filed under: uncultured bacterium
Lineage: Bacteria
Description: partial 16S ribosomal RNA
Rfam family: Bacterial small subunit ribosomal RNA
Source: RNAcentral